CCGAGAGACGAGGCCCCAGCGGUCUCACUCUUCCACCGUGCAUAAUCGACCUUUGUUGCUUUGGCGGGCUGUCGGCCUGGCCCCCGACGCUGCUCUCGGGCCGGGCCCGGCGCUUCGGCGCCCUCCCGCCUAAAGCCCCAUGAAACUCUUGUACCGGUGUUGUCCGAGUCCAUAUCGAAUAUAUAAAACUUUCAACAACGGAUCUCUUGGUUCUGGCAUCGAUGAAGAACGCAGCGAAAUGCGAUAAGUAAUGUGAAUUGCAGAAUUCAGUGAAUCAUCGAAUCUUUGAACGCACAUUGCGCCCUCUGGUAUUCCGGGGGGCAUGCCUGUUCGAGCGUCAUUGCAACCUCAAGCAUUCUGCUUGGUAUUGGGUCUCGCCCCUGUGGCGGGCCCGAAAUCCGGUGACGGUCCGCGGGGACUCCGGGCGUAGUAAGAUUUUUCAAUCCCGCCUUGGCAGCUCCUGAGCGCGUCCGGUCAAACCGCCCCAUCGUAUUUUCCACGAUUGACCUCGGAUCAGGUAGGGAUACCCGCUGAACUUAA
Molecule: ribosomal RNA, 540 nt
Filed under: Calicium viride
Lineage: Eukaryota; Fungi; Ascomycota; Lecanoromycetes; Caliciales; Caliciaceae
Description: eukaryotic LSU rRNA
Rfam family: 5.8S ribosomal RNA (bases 187-340)
Source: RNAcentral